CAGGUGCAAGCACUCCCAAAAUGCAAAUACCAUGCUGCUUGAUCCUUGGUUAGCAGUCCCAGAAGAUGAUGCCACAAGUAGYCAUCAAAUUCAAAGUCAGAUCUUUUUCCACCCAGUAACAAAGCUUCUGUGGAGACCAUCUACCUUGCUCCUACAUUCAACUCUUUCCAACCUUUGUGAAGCAUCACAGCAAGUGAGGAAAUUAUGAAGCCAACACCUUCCACAUGUGAUAGCAUGCAGGCAGCUAGCAUGACUCUCUAUCCUUCUCCAAGGCCAGGUUUUGCACACAGAAGCACGUCCUCAUCUCCAGCCUACAUUUGCCAGUGCUCUGAAACAGUCCUCAAGGGGAAAGUUAAGCAACCUGCACUGUUGAGCCCUGUCGCCUGGAGAAGGUGCAGGAGAAUUUACUUUACUGAGCAGUCCUGUGUGGCCAGGAGCUGGAAGCAACCUGUGGGUUUGUUUCAUCUUCAGUGUUUGCCAUGAUAUUUGGGGUUUAGGAGAAACAAAGACAGACUCCUGACUGGAGGAGCAGCUGAGGAGACUGCUCUGAUUUCAGUGUUCCCCAUCUUCUUGGGCUGGAAGAACCUUAUCCCCAAGGACAUCUCUCCAGUGAGAGGGUGGCAACAACUCUCCAACAACUUCUGAGCAAAAUGUAGUUACUUCAAACUCCCACCCUUACCUUAAGGUUAACAAGCAACUCCCCCUGCUCUCUAGUCACCACUGGGCAUCCCCCGUCAGGUUUUUCCACCUUCUCUCCCAGCUCUGGAGGCACCUGUGAGCACAGCCAUUUCAUGUAGACACCAAUGGAAGGUGACGGUGUGGGUGGAGGGUGUAUCAGUGCAAAUAGGACCCUUUUCAGGCGCUCGGUGGCUUGGAACAGUGUCCCUUGAGGGGAGAACAGAGAGUGGUACAAGCACAGGAUUGUCCCUGUCAGCUGGCUCAUAUGUUUUACCCCUGUCCUGGCAAGUGGGAGAGCGCUGUCUGCUUGCAUUAAACCAGUUGCACCACUGAUAAGCUGCAAGCAGGCAAGGAGUUCGCUUGGGGAAAGACAUUAAAUGCAGCAGGGCAGAAAAGGCCCUUUUAAAGCACUUUUGUCUUUUUUUCUUAAAAAAAAACCCCAAACCAAAAAACACACACACAGCGAUAAGGUCUCUGGUGGAAAAUUUAUACCAAAUGAUAAGUUAAGUACGUCCAAGGAAAUAUUCAAGGUUAGACUGAAACCAAUUGGUGAGAGCCUGAGACAUACUCACUGACCUGCAAUAUGUUAAUUCACAAUGUACCUGAGAGAAAAACAUGGUCCAAAACUCCUUGGGGGUACAAAAGUGUUACUGCUGCGAGGAGCAAGUGAAAAUUGUUGAAGCUGGUGGCUGUAAUAGGCACCCUUCUUUCAGGAAGAAGGGAAGAAAGAAACAGGAAACUACUUUUGGAAUAGGCAGUUGAAAAAACUGUGCAAAGUCUUGUAAUUGACAAGGCUGGUCAGCCUGAGUUUCCAGGGAUAAGGUUUCUAGCCAGGAGCUAAAAGCAAACGGAGAGGGCAGUUUGGAUGGAAGGGGCUAUAGGCAAGUGCAGACAGAAACGUGGGUGAGGCAGGCAGAAAGCUGGGAAAGUGCAUCCCAUGCAACACAAACGGCAAGCUAAGGGAUAGUUUUGGAGGCAGAGCAUGAGUUAGGAGAGACAGUUGGGCUUUUGAGUAGCUACGUUCAGGGAAACGGCACUUUGAGUAUGUUCUUUGUCAAUAAAGAAAGUUGCACUGAGGAGAUUUUCCUCUAC
Long non-coding RNA from Apteryx rowi (Okarito brown kiwi), 1770 nucleotides. NCBI's taxonomy places the organism in Eukaryota, Metazoa, Chordata, Aves, Apterygiformes, Apterygidae. The record is from Ensembl.